RNA transcript from Capsicum annuum, 5394 nucleotides. It is a transcript of the gene named 2-(3-amino-3-carboxypropyl)histidine synthase subunit 1, with no coding region annotated. The transcript is spliced from 3 exons. The record is from RefSeq and is a predicted model, not a curated record. NCBI's taxonomy places the organism in Eukaryota, Viridiplantae, Streptophyta, Magnoliopsida, Solanales, Solanaceae.
AACUUCACCUUCAACUCAACUCCAAACUUUUUAAAUUUUCAUGGCUACAUAGAUUAUUGCUUAGUGAAUUUGCUGUUUGGAUACUACAGAUCCCUAAUCAGCCUUUAAUCACAGAAUUUAUCUGUGCGAAAUCACUCUCUCCAUUGCAUCUAUACCGCCAGUUAAACAAACUAUGGAGAAAGAACACAGCGACCUCCUCCCCCGAAACCCUACUCCGGCGCCGGCGACCACCGCAGUAGCCGCCGGAAACCAACAGCCACUGCAGCAAUCAACUCGUCCACGUCCUAAACGCUUCGUAAAGAACCAAAUCCCCGACUCCAUUCUUAACAACACAGCACUCAACGCCGCCAUAUCACUUCUCCCUCAAAACUACAACUUCGAAAUCCACAAGUGCGUGUGGCGCGUGCAGAACUCACGCGCCAAGCGCGUCGCCCUUCAGUUCCCCGAAGGCCUCCUCAUGUACUCACUCAUCAUCUCCGAUAUACUCUCUACGUUCACUUCCGUCGAACACUGUUUCAUCCUCGGUGACGUCACUUACGGUGCGUGUUGCGUCGAUGACCUCUCCGCGGCGGCGCUUUCUGCUGAUUUGCUCAUACAUUUUGGCCAUAGCUGCCUCGUGCCUAUUGAUUCUACGACUAUCCCAUGCCUUUAUAUAUUUGUCGAAAUUUCGAUUGAUGUUCAUAGGUUGUUAAAUGAACUGAAACUCAAUUUCUGUAAUUCUAGAAUUUACGAUAAUAUUGUUAUGGCUGGGACAAUUCAAUUUGCUACUGCUAUUCGGGCGGUUAAGCCCGAACUUGAGAAAUUAGGGUUUAGUGUUUUGGUUCCUCAGGCGAAACCGUUAUCAGCUGGGGAAGUACUUGGAUGUACUGCCCCGAGUGUUAGGAACAGGAUUGCUGAUGGGGAGGAUGUGGUUUUGGUGUUUGUAGCUGAUGGUAGGUUUCAUUUGGAGGCGUUUAUGAUAGCGAAUCCAGGGAUAAAGACGUAUAGAUAUGAUCCGUUUAUAGGGAAGUUGUUUGUGGAGGAAUAUGAUCAUAAGGGAAUGAAGGAGGAGAGGAAGAGAGCGAUUGAGAAGGCGAGGGAGGCGAAAAAUUGGGGUAUAGUGCUUGGGACAUUAGGUAGGCAAGGGAAUCCGAGGAUAUUGGAUAGGUUAGAGAAGAAGAUGGCAGAGAAGGGGAUGACUUGGACGGUUGUGUUGAUGUCGGAGAUAUCUCCUACGAGGAUUGCAUUGUUUGAGGAUGCAGUAGAUGCUUGGAUUCAGAUUGCGUGUCCGAGGUUGUCAAUCGAUUGGGGAGAUGCGUUUAAGAGGCCUUUGCUAACGCCAUUUGAGGCGGAGAUUGCAUUGGGUGAGUUGUCUGGGUGGUGGGAGAGGAAGACAGUAGUGAAUUCAGAUGAAUGUUGUGAUGAAGGUGUGAAGUGUUCAAAGAAUGAAUCUUGUGGUGCUUGUGAUAAUGGUGGUGAAGAAGUGAAGGAACGGGUACCCGUGGAUUAUCCGAUGGAUUAUUAUGCUCAGGAUGGUGGGGAGUGGAAUUCUUGCUACUCGAAGAAGCCUGCUCGACUUUCACAAAGAAGUAGUCAAUCUUGUAAUGGUAACAGUGCCAUCAAAUGUUCCCAUUGUUGAACUAAUUUGUUUCCAGCUGAAUACAUUGCUGUAUCAUAAAUGGAGUUACACUUCAAAAUACAUUAUGCCGCACACCUUGCACCUAGGGCCCAUUGAUGCUUCAUUACUUACAUUACAAUGGUCUCACCGAUCGCAGGACUUAUGAGAUGACUAUAUUUAUCCCACUGAGGUCGUGUGUCCGCAGAAGGUUGAGUCGACAUGGAAUAUAUUUUAUAACCCCCUACCCCACGACCGCGUCAUACAUUAUGUAUCGAGGGCAGGGUUAUAUGACAUCAUUAGAAUAGGAAAGAUCCAGUUUGAUCACCCAUUAGCAAUUACUCUGGUCGAGAGGUGGAGACCAGAGACUCACACUUUUCAUCGACCAUUUGGAGAGGUCACUAUUACACUAUAGGAUGUGGAGGUGUUAUUUGGACUACAUACUGACGGAAAUGCAGUUGCAUAUGCCGAUGAAAUGGAUCGUAAUUUAGAUUGGCGUACUAUGUUAUGAGAUUUCACUGGCUUGGAGGUUGAACUGGCGGUCAUUAAUGGACAUGAUCGUAUUUCUAUUAUUACAGUUUUGAAUUAUCUUCUUCAACAAUUUUUACUUCAUCCCAUUACCGUCAAGACAUCAGAGGACAGGGUUCAGAGCAUUGCUCGGCUGUAUAUGGUGUUGCUUAUGGGAGGGAUUCUUUUCACAAAUACAUCUGGCAGUAUAUUGAGCUUGCGAUACUUGUAUUUUCUUAGGGACCUGAAUAGGACUGGGACUAUAGUUGGGGUAGCGCUGUUCUAGCAUACUUAUAUAAGUAUCUUUGUCGGGUAUCCAUGUGCGCUAAUUAGCUAGGAGGACUUGUUUCUCUCCUUCGGGUAACCUUUUUUAUUAUGUAAAUUUAAGUUGAUUAAUAAUUUGUUUACUUAAAAAUAAUUUUGAUGUAAUGAUUAAAUUUGGACUUUGGAGAGGAUUCAGCCGUUCAGGCUAGAGCCGAUUGGGUCGAUUGCUGAGGACUAGCCCGUGCUUCCAUAUGCUAGAAAAUGGACACGAGGGAUCCAACAUGAUUCUGAGGCACACCAUACUGUAGUCUCAAUGAGAGAUCAGCUUGAUCAUAUGAUGGAGGAGCAGGUAUAUUUUAUUUAUGUUAUAUUGUGUUGUGUGGCGUGUGCGAUCAUAUUUAUAUGGGAGAAAUAUCUCGUGUGCAAUUUGUUUCAUCGAAAUGUGUCAUGUGGGGCCAUUUUAUGUUGUUGUUAAUGUUAUGUCAAAUUAUUGAUUGUAUAGGCUUAUGAGAUGUCUUUUUUUAUUGAAAUGUGCCUUGUGUGGUCAUUUUGUAUUGUUGUUACUGUUAUGUUAAAUUAUUGAUUGUAUAGGCUUGUGAGAAGAUUUUUUUAUUGAAAUGUGUCGUGUGAGACCAUUUAUGUUGUUGUUAAUGUUAUGUUAAAUUAUUGAUUGUAUAGGCCUGUGAGAUAUUUUUUUUUAUUGAAAAGUGUCGUGUGGGGCCAUUUUAUAUUGUUGUUACUGUUAUAUUAAAUUAUUGAUUGUAUAAGUCUGUGAAAAGUCUUCUUUUAUUGAAAUAUGCCGCGUGGGGUCAUUUUAUAUUGUUGUUAUUGUUAUGUAAAAUUGUUGCUUGUAUAGCCAUUCGAAAAGCCCUUUCUAAUUAAAAUAUGUUGUGGGGUCAUUUUAUUGACGGACAGUUUUUUGAAAUACGCUAGAAACAAAGGAAACUUUGUCAAAAUUUUUAUAAAUUUAAAGAGAUUUACAAUUUUAAUGACUUAUACAAGAGCAAUAAAGUUAGAUUAAUUUAAUAACUUGGUCUUGUAUUAAUGUAACUUUAUUGGUUUCGUAUAAGUCAAUAAAAUUGUAAAUCUCUUUAAAUUUACAAAAAUUUCGGCAAAGUUGCCUUUGUUUCUAGCGUAUUUCAAAAAUUUGUCCCUGUCAAUCAACACCAUAUAAGAUAAUACUUUUACAUAAUAGUAACAACAUUAUAAAAUAGCCCCACACGACACAUUUUAAUUAAAAAAGGGUUUUUCGCCCUGCUAUUCCAGCAAUAAUUUUACAUAAAAAUAUAAAAUGGCCCCACACGACACACUAAAAAAAAAGACUUCUCACAGGCCUAUACAAUCAAUAAUUUAAUAUAACAGUAACGACAAUAUAAAAUGGCCCCACAAGACACUUUUCAAUUUAAAAAAAAAAAGACAUCUUGCAGUCCUAUACAAUCAAUAAUUUAACAUGACAUUAACAACAAUAUAAAUGACCCCAUACGAUACAUUUCAAUAAAAAAAAUCUUCUCACAGGCCUAUACAAUCAAUAAUUUAACAUAACAGUAACAACAAUACAAAAUGGUCACGACACAUUUCAAUAAAAAAAGACAUUUCAUAAGCCUAUACAAUCAAUAAUUUAACAUAUUAACAACAACAUAAAAUGACCUCACAUGACACAUUUCGAUAAAACAAAAAUUACAUACGAGAUGUUUCUCCCAUAUAAAUAUGAUCUCACACGCCACACAACACAAUAUAUCAUAAAUAAAAUAUAUCUGCUCCUCCAUCAUAUGACAAGAUGGUUUCUCAUUGGGACUACAACAUGGAGUGCCUCAAAAUCGUGUUGAAUUCCUUGUGUCCAUUUUCUAGCAUAUAGAAGCAUGGGCUAAUCGUCUCUGUCCUGAACGACCGAAUCCUCUUCCAAAUCCAAUCGUUACAUCGAAAUUAUUUUUAAGUAAACAAAUAAUUAAUCAACUUAAGUUUACAUAAUAAGAAAGGUUACUCGAAGGAGAGGAACAAAUCCUCUUAGCUGAUUAGCGCACAUGGAUACUCGACAAAGAGAUCUAUAUAAAUAUGCUAGAACAACGCUGCCUCAGCUAUAGUCCCCUGUCCAGGUUCCUAAGAAAAUAUAAGUAUCGCAAGCUCAAUAGACUGCCAGAUAUAUUUGUAUGAAGAAUCCCUCCUAUAAGCAACACCAUAUAUAGUCGAGCAAUGCUCUGAACCCUGUCCUCUGAUGUCUUAACAGUAGCGGGAUGAAGUAAAAGUUGUUGUCGAAGAUAAUUCAGAACUGUAACAAAUAGAAAUACGACCAUGUCCAUUAAUGACCGUCAGUUCAACCUCCAAGCUAGUGAAAUCUAACAUAGUAUGCCAAUCUAAAUUAUGAUCCAUUUCAUCGGCAUAUGCAACUGCAUCUCCGUCAGUACAUAGUCCAAAUAACACCUCCACAUCCUAUAGUGUAAUAGUGACCUCUCCAAAGGAUAGAUGGAAAGUGUGAGUCUCUGACCUCCACACCUCUCGAUCAUAACAAAUUGUUAGUGGGUGAUCAAACCAGAUCUUUCCUAUUCUAAUGAUGUCAUAUAACCCCACCCUCGAAAUAUAAUGUAUGACACGACCGUGGGGUGGGGGUUAUAAAAUAUGUCCUAUGUCAACUCAACCUUCUAUGGACACACGACCUCAGUGGGAUGAAUAUAGUAAUUUCAUAAGUCCUGCAACCGGUGAGACCGUUGUAAUGUAAGUAAUGAAGCAUCAAUGGGUCAUGGGUCCAAGGCGUACAACAUAAUGUAUCUAUGCAUAUAAUAUUAAAUAUUGGGACCAUAGUGAAAAGUAAUACACAUUCAAUGAAAUAAUUAAUGUAUGUGCAAAUUCUUUUCUUAUAACACGAUUGAAACACAAAGAAAUGAAUUGUUAAUAGCUAAUGCAUUUAGUUUCAAUCAGAUCUUUAUGUUCUUAUAACUGAUCAUCAGUUUCCUAUUGUUGUGUUAUUUCAGCUAUUUCCUUGGUUUCGAAUUGGAUACUUCUUUAUGUGGACAGGAAUUUAUGUUAUUUUUCAA